Molecule: microRNA precursor, 67 nt
Organism: Cricetulus griseus (Chinese hamster)
Lineage: Eukaryota; Metazoa; Chordata; Mammalia; Rodentia; Cricetidae
Source: Ensembl
GGUCUGAGGGAGGAGGGCUGGGUCUGAGGGAGGAGUCUGGGCUCCGAUGACCACUCCCUCCUUGGAG